UGGAGGACCACGCGGCGUGGUAUAUUAAUGAAAUGGCAGCGGUUGUUCUCGUCAACAGUAAGAAGAAAGGUGCCGUCGGGGGAGGCAGCGAGACGGCGGAUGUUAGAGGAUGAUUGGACAGGAAGGGUUAUGGUUUGGGAUUUUACAAGGUCAGUGAUGGAAACACGAUUACCAACCGGAGAGAUUAAUUGGGUAUUUUGGGUGAUUAUAGCGUUGCCUCCUCUGUAGGGAGCUCCUAGCAAAUUUUGGAAUCUAUAAUUCAUUUCUUUUAACGAACAAU
This 280-nucleotide unclassified non-coding RNA is filed under the name Hevea brasiliensis (rubber tree). Lineage: Eukaryota; Viridiplantae; Streptophyta; Magnoliopsida; Malpighiales; Euphorbiaceae. The record is from RNAcentral.